RNAcentral lists this transfer RNA (78 nucleotides) under Acidobacteriota bacterium. Its description in RNAcentral is "Acidobacteria bacterium tRNA-Arg". It matches the Rfam family "tRNA". From Rfam's summary of the family: Transfer RNA (tRNA) molecules are approximately 80 nucleotides in length. Their secondary structure includes four short double-helical elements and three loops (D, anti-codon, and T loops). Lineage: Bacteria; Pseudomonadati; Acidobacteriota. RNAcentral also lists the same sequence under 1 other name. The record is from RNAcentral.
GCGCCCGUAGCUUCAGCUGGAUAGAGCAUCUGGCUUCGAACCAGAGGGUCGGGAGUUCGAGUCUCUCCGGGCGCGCCA